AGUGAACGCUGGCGGUAGGCCUAACACAUGCGAGUCGAACGGCAGCACAGUAAGAGCUUGCUCUUACGGGUGGCGAGUGGCGGACGAGUGAGGAAUACAUCGGAAUCUACUUUUUCGUGGGGGAUAACGUAGGGAAACUUACGCUAAUACCGCAUACGACCUACGGGUGAAAGCAGGGGAUCUUCGGACCUUGCGCGAUUGAAUGAGCCGAUGUCGGAUUAGCUAGUUGGCGGGGUAAAGGCCCACCAAGGCGACGAUCCGUAGCUGGUCUGAGAGGAUGAUCAGCCACACUGGAACUGAGACACGGUCCAGACUCCUACGGGAGGCAGCAGUGGGGAAUAUUGGACAAUGGGCGCAAGCCUGAUCCAGCCAUACCGCGUGGGUGAAGAAGGCCUUCGGGUUGUAAAGCCCUGUUGUUGGGAAAGAAAAGCAGCAGGUUAAUACCCCGCUGUUCUGACGGUACCCAAAGAAUAAGCACCGGCUAACUUCGUG
RNAcentral lists this ribosomal RNA (492 nucleotides) under uncultured bacterium. RNAcentral describes it as "partial 16S ribosomal RNA". It matches the Rfam family "Bacterial small subunit ribosomal RNA", at positions 29 to 507 of the family's 1533-position model. The record is from RNAcentral.